UUGAACGCUGGCGGCAUGCUUUACACAUGCAAGUCGAACGGUAACAGGCCUUCGGGUGCUGACGAGUGGCGAACGGGUGAGUAAUGCAUCGGAACGUGCCCAGAGGUGGGGGAUAACGCAGCGAAAGCUGUGCUAAUACCGCAUGUGAUCUGAGGAUGAAAGCGGGGGACCAAGCAGCAAUGUUUGGCCUCGCGCCUCUGGAGCGGCCGAUGUCAGAUUAGGUAGUUGGUGGGGUAAAGGCCUACCAAGCCGACGAUCUGUAGCUGGUCUGAGAGGACGACCAGCCACACUGGGACUGAGACACGGCCCAGACUCCUACGGGAGGCAGCAGUGGGGAAUUUUGGACAAUGGGCGCAAGCCUGAUCCAGCAAUGCCGCGUGCGGGAAGAAGGCCUUCGGGUUGUAAACCGCUUUUGUACGGAACGAAAAGGCUCUGGCUAAUACCUGGGGCUGAUGACGGUACCGUAAGAAUAAGCACCGGCUAACUACGUGC
Molecule: ribosomal RNA, 492 nt
Filed under: uncultured bacterium
Lineage: Bacteria
Description: partial 16S ribosomal RNA
Rfam family: Bacterial small subunit ribosomal RNA
Source: RNAcentral